UCGCCUGAAAUAAAGACCCCUCCUCGAAGCUUCUUCUAUCUCUGCUCCCUUCACCGUCUUUUAGAUAUUAGUGCCACCGCUUAUCUUAGUUUUCUCCACAUCGCCGCUUCAAUCCAUCCUUCCAGUUUCAAAAAAAGCGACCGUCUCCCUCUCCAUCACCGGCAAACUCGAUGUCACGUUUUCUGUCUGCUUUCGUCAUCAUGUCGACGCGUAUUGCAACAAACACAUAUCUAGAAAUUUGCUAACAGUCGAAGAAGACGAUGAUGUCAGAGAGUAAGCGUUGUUCGCUACUUUUUCUUUGCUUGGUCGCUGCUUCCCUCUUCUUUUCCCUUCUUCAUCAAACCUUUCAGUUUCCUGAUUAACUUCUCCUCAACUGAAACCCUAAUUUUUUUUUGAUUGUUGAUUUAUGGUACAAAUGCCAGAAUAUAUGAAUGAUGGGGAGGAGUGAGGUCAACCGACCUCUGAUAUAAUUUGAAUCUAGCAAGAAAAAUUGAUCAAUAUCACUGAACUUUUCCAGAAAUUUUGGCAUUUGGGAAUUGGGCUCAUUUAAUAGAUAUCUGAAGAAACCGAUUGUGGCAAGCGACAGCUGUAUGGCUACCUGGCAACGAAAUGAGAUUUGGAUUUCUUCAAUCAGCAUUGUGAAGGGUAAUCAAAGGUUAGGUCACAAAUGCUAAGCGUAACAGCAGGAGUUGGGCCAACUCUAAGCCGAGGGACCAAAGUUGACAAAUCGUGAAACUGUGGUGGUGAAAAUCUGAAGUGCAAUUGGCCGAUUAUAUAUCUAUAUCAAUUCAAGAAUCAAACAAAUGAAAUGAAAUUUAAGAAUGGUAAGGUACAUUCAUUGUACAAUCUGGAUAUAUAUUUAAAUGGAUUUAAGAGUUCCAACUUAACAAAAUUUGUUAAGUAAACAAGUUAAUAUCUGGUUUAUCCGUUCAUUGAGUCAACGGAUAUAUUUAGUAACAUUUUAAGUGAAACUCCCUUUAUGUAUUUAACUAUUAUAGGAAUCCAUUACUCAUCUCCAAUAAUUUUACUAUUUUA
Non-coding RNA from Lactuca sativa (garden lettuce), 1035 nucleotides. NCBI's taxonomy places the organism in Eukaryota, Viridiplantae, Streptophyta, Magnoliopsida, Asterales, Asteraceae. The record is from RefSeq and is a predicted model, not a curated record.